GAUGAAGAACGUAGUGAAAUGCGAUAAGUAAUGCGAAUUGCAGAAUUCCAGUGAAUCAUCGAGUCUUUGAACGCACAUUGCGCCCCCUGGUAUUCCGGGGGGCAUGCCUGUCCGAGCGUCAUUGCUGCCCUCAAGCACGGCUUGUGUGUUGGGCCUCCGUCCUCCUCCCGGGGGACGGGCCCGAAAGGCAGCGGCGGCACCGCGUCCGGUCCUCGAGCGUAUGGGGCUUCGUCACCCGCUCUUGUAGGCCCGGCCGGCGCUUGCCGACACAUCAAUCUUUUUUCCAGGUUGACCUCGGAUCAGGUAGGGAUACCCGCUGAACUUAAGCAUAUCAAUAAGCGGAGGA
Molecule: unclassified non-coding RNA, 346 nt
Filed under: soil metagenome
Description: partial contains 5.8S ribosomal RNA, internal transcribed spacer 2, and large subunit ribosomal RNA
Rfam family: 5.8S ribosomal RNA (bases 1-121)
Source: RNAcentral